CCUACGGGAGGCAGCAGUAAGGAAUAUUGGUCAAUGGACGCAGGUCUGAACCAGCCAUGCCGCGUGCAGGAUGAAGGCCCUCUGGGUUGUAAACUGCUUUUAUAGGGGACGAAAAAGGGACUUUCUAGUUCAACUGACGGUACCCUAGGAAUAAGCACCGGCUAACUCCGUGCCAGCAGCCGCGGUAAUACGGAGGGUGCAAGCGUUAUCCGGAUUUACUGGGUUUAAAGGGUGCGUAGGUGGGUCGGUAAGUCAGCGGUGAAAUCUUCAAGCUUAACUUGGAAACUGCCAUUGAUACUAUCGAUCUUGAAUCAUCUGGAGGUAAGCGGAAUAUGUCAUGUAGCGGUGAAAUGCUUAGAUAUGACAUAGAACACCAAUUGCGAAGGCAGCUUACUACGGAUGUAUUGACACUGAGGCACGAAAGCGUGGGGAUCAAACAGGAUUAGAUACCCUGGUAGUCCACGCCCUAAACGAUGGAUACUCGACAUACGUGAUAUACUAUNUGUGUCUGNGAGAACAAUAAUAUACCACCUACGGAGAGAGCGCGAGAGUAGAACGUACGAAGUAAGUAGUAGACGACGAGAGAGCGACGACGACGACGACGGAGGGAGGAG
RNAcentral lists this ribosomal RNA (614 nucleotides) under uncultured bacterium. Its description in RNAcentral is "bacterial SSU rRNA". The stretch from base 1 to 532 matches the Rfam family "Bacterial small subunit ribosomal RNA", at positions 338 to 873 of the family's 1533-position model. The record is from RNAcentral.